Molecule: long non-coding RNA, 841 nt
Organism: Aethalodelphis obliquidens (Pacific white-sided dolphin)
Lineage: Eukaryota; Metazoa; Chordata; Mammalia; Artiodactyla; Delphinidae
Exons: 3
Source: RefSeq, a predicted model, not a curated record
ACCAAGCCAACUGGGAAUUUGAAUCACAUGAAUAAAGGUGAGAUCUUGAAUCAAUAAAACAUUCUUUUUUAUUUCUAACACUAAUGUAGUGAUAACUAGAAUUAUAUUGUAUUUUAGGGAUAUCAGUCUUACUAUAUGAUACCUAGUUUCUCUUCUCAAAGCAUCAUUUAAGUACUAAUUGGUGUAUUAUUUAAGUUCUGUCUUACUGGGGAGAAGUUCCUACUGCCCAAAGGAAGACUGGAAAUUUUUCAUCAUUUGAUAAGGAGUGACUAGAAUUCUUCUCUUGCGCCCUGUCCACCAAAAGCAGGAAUGAUAAAGAUAAAUGUGUGGGACACUUUACAUUUUCAUAUUCUUUUUCUCUUUUAAUCCUCUCAGUUGUACUAUAAUGUAGGUGUUAAUAUUCUCAUUCUGUAGAUGAGGAACCUGAAAGUCAAAUUUAAUGACCUGCCCAAGGCCACACAGCUAGUAAGAGGUAUAAAUCGCAGCAGAUAAGCUGUAAUUUAAGUGUACUUUCGUGCUUACCUUUCUGAUUCUUUAGCACCAUUUUUCUCUUUUUUUCCCUUUGAUAUCAAAAACUUGGGCUUCCAAGUCUUUAGUUUAUCUUCGUCACUGAGAAGAAAAAUAUUUGGAGCAAGUAAAUUAAGAUUGAACUAAAACCCUUACGGAACAAUCAGUACUUUCUGGGAAACUGUGUUUUACCAAAAAAUUAAUUAAAAAGUCAUCUAGAAGUAUAUUUUGAUAAUCUAUGGCAAGGCCAGAGCGUCAAUAUUGUAGGCUUUGCAAGCCAUGCCAUCUCUAUGGUAACAACUCUGCUAUUGCGACUGUCAUCUCUAUGGUAACA